Molecule: ribosomal RNA, 277 nt
Filed under: uncultured bacterium
Lineage: Bacteria
Description: partial 16S ribosomal RNA
Rfam family: Bacterial small subunit ribosomal RNA
Source: RNAcentral
UCAAACUGGAGAUGGCGACCGGCGCACGGGUGAGUAACACGUAUCCAACCUGCCGAUAACUCGGGGAUAGCCUUUCGAAAGAAAGAUUAAUACCCGAUGGCAUAAUAGAACCGCAUGGUUUGAUUAUUAAAGAAUUUCGGUUAUCGAUGGGGAUGCGUUCCAUUAGGCAGUUGGUGGGGUAAUGGCCCACCAAACCUUCGAUGGAUAGGGGUUCUGAGAGGAAGGUCCCCCACAUUGGAACUGAGACACGGUCCAAACUCCUACGGGAGGCAGCAUG